This 329-nucleotide ribosomal RNA is filed under the name uncultured eukaryote. Its description in RNAcentral is "partial 18S ribosomal RNA". It matches the Rfam family "Eukaryotic small subunit ribosomal RNA", at positions 1470 to 1796 of the family's 1831-position model. The record is from RNAcentral.
CCCUUAGAUGUUCUGGGCCGCACGCGCGCUGCACUGAUGCAUUCAACGAGUCUAAAACCUGCUCUGAUAGGGGUGGGUAAUCUUUUGAAUGUGCAUCGUGAUUGGGAUAGAUGAUUGCAAUUUUUCAUCUUCAACGAGGAAUGCCUAGUAAACGCAAGUCAUCAGCUUGCAUUGAUUACGUCCCUGCCCUUUGUACACACCGCCCGUCGCUCCUACCGAUUGAAUGAUCCGAUGAAUAUCAUGGAUUGAGGAUGCAAGUAGGUUCGCCUAUCUUCAUCUUCGAGAAGUGAAGUAAAUCUUAUCAUUUAGAGGAAGGAGAAGUCGUAACA